ACGGCGAGUGAAGCGGUAAUAGCUCAAAUUUGAAAUCUGGCUCUAGGGUCCGAGUUGUAAUUUGUAGAGGAUGUUUCGGGUGCGCCCGCAGUUUAAGUUCCUUGGAACAGGACGUCAUAGAGGGUGAGAAUCCCGUCUUGAACUGUACGGCAAGUCCAUGUGAAACUCCUUCGACGAGUCGAGUUGUUUGGGAAUGCAGCUCAAAAUGGGAGGUAAAUUUCUUCUAAAGCUAAAUAUUGGCCAGAGACCGAUAGCGCACAAGUAGAGUGAUCGAAAGAUGAAAAGCACUUUGAAAAGAGAGUUAAACAGUAUGUGAAAUUGUUAAAAGGGAAGCGUUUGCAACCAGACUUGUUUCUAACAGUUCUACCGCAGUUCUCUGUGGCUUAUUCUGUUAGUCCAGGCCAGCAUCAGUUUGGGUGGCUCGUUAAAGACUUUGGGAAUGUAUCUACUCCUUCGGGUGUAGACUUAUAGCCCAUUGUGUAAUAGGGUCUACCUGGACU
Molecule: ribosomal RNA, 500 nt
Filed under: Neophaeomoniella zymoides
Lineage: Eukaryota; Fungi; Ascomycota; Eurotiomycetes; Phaeomoniellales; Phaeomoniellaceae
Description: partial 28S large subunit ribosomal RNA
Rfam family: Eukaryotic large subunit ribosomal RNA
Source: RNAcentral